Non-coding RNA from Macaca mulatta (Rhesus monkey), 3509 nucleotides. NCBI's taxonomy places the organism in Eukaryota, Metazoa, Chordata, Mammalia, Primates, Cercopithecidae. The record is from RefSeq and is a predicted model, not a curated record.
CGGGCGCCGGGCACGCGGGCCAGGCCUUCCCCACAACUGGUGGGGUUGAGAUUUCCUUUCCGGCUCAGCGGGGAGAAAAGAGAUGGUGGGGUGCUUAACAGAGAAGGUUAGACACCGGCGGGAACCAGAGGAGCCCAAGCGCGGCGCUGGGCCUCGGGGCUGCAGGAGUCCUAGGGUCUGCAGGAGUCCUCGGCUGCGGUAUGGAGGUCGCCGGGGAAGAAGGACGGUUCAGUUGCUAGGCAACCCGGCCUGGACCCGCCUCUCGCUCGCGUUGCUGGGAGACUACAAGGCCGGGGGGAGGGCGGCGAGAGGGCCCUACGUGCUGACGCUAAUUGUAUAUGAGCGCGAGCGGCGGGCUCUUGGGUCUUUUUUAGCGCCAUCUGCUCGCGGCGCCGCCUCCUGCUCCUCCCGCCGCCGCUGCCGCCCUGAGUCACUGCCUGCGCAGCUCCGGCCGCCUGGCUCCCCAUACUAGCCGCCGAUAUUUGGAGUUCUUACAACAUGGCAGACAUUGACAACAAAGAACAGUCUGAACUUGAUCAAGAUUUGGAUGAUGUUGAAGAAGUAGAAGAAGAGGAAACUGGUGAAGAAACAAAAAUCAAAGCACGUCAGCUAACUGUUCAGAUGAUGCAAAAUCCUCAGAUUCUUGCAGCCCUUCAAGAAAGACUUGAUGGUCUGGUAGAAACACCAACAGGAUACAUUGAAAGCCUGCCUAGGGUAGUUAAAAGACGAGUGAAUGCUCUCAAAAACCUGCAAGUUAAAUGUGCACAGAUAGAAGCCAAAUUCUAUGAGGAAGUUCACGAUCUUGAAAGGAAGUAUGCUGUUCUCUAUCAGCCUCUGUUUGAUAAGCGAUUUGAGAUUAUUAAUGCAAUUUAUGAACCUACGGAAGAAGAAUGUGAAUGGAAACCAGAUGAAGAAGAUGAGAUUUCGGAGGAGUUGAAAGAAAAGGCCAAGAUCGAAGAUGAGAAAAAGGAUGAAGAAAAAGAAGACCCCAAAGGAAUUCCUGAAUUUUGGUUAACUGUUUUUAAGAAUGUUGACUUGCUCAGUGAUAUGGUUCAGGAACAUGAUGAACCUAUUCUGAAACACUUGAAAGAUAUUAAAGUGAAGUUCUCAGAUGCUGGCCAGCCUAUGAGUUUUGUCUUAGAAUUUCACUUUGAACCCAAUGAAUAUUUUACAAAUGAAGUGCUGACAAAGACAUAUAGGAUGAGGUCAGAACCAGAUGAUUCUGAUCCCUUUUCUUUUGAUGGACCAGAAAUUAUGGGUUGUACAGGGUGCCAGAUAGAUUGGAAAAAAGGAAAGAAUGUCACUUUGAAAACCAUUAAGAAGAAGCAGAAACACAAGGGACGUGGGACAGUUCGUACUGUGACUAAAACAGUUUCCAAUGACUCUUUCUUUAAUUUUUUUGCCCCUCCUGAAGUUCCUGAGAGUGGAGAUCUGGAUGAUGAUGCUGAAGCUAUCCUUGCUGCAGACUUCGAAAUUGGUCACUUUUUACGUGAGCGUAUAAUCCCGAGAUCAGUGUUAUAUUUUACUGGAGAAGCUAUUGAAGAUGAUGAUGAUGAUUAUGAUGAAGAAGGUGAAGAAGCGGAUGAGGGUUAUCAGCUCUUUGAAGAAGUCAAAAGCUGCAGUAAACUUUUCCAACGUUGGCUGCAGUAACUAUUUUCAAUAAAAGCUGUCUGGAUGUCUCAAGUUGUGUUGGGAAAUUUUUCAUAUUAGAAGCUUUCAGAUUAAAUUGUAUUAUCGUCAAACUCUGUAAUCAUGAAAAUCUGUUGACCCAUAGAGUAACUUGUAUUAAAUUUUCCCUACAUUAUGAGCCAGUUUACCUACUAUGUACAUACUUCAUGGAUGCAUUUUGAACUUUAAUAUAGGAAGGGGAAGAAGAAGGAGAUGAGGAAAAUGAUCCAGACUAUGACCCAAAGAAGGAUCAAAACCCAGCAGAGUGCAAGCAGCAGUGAAGCAGGAUGUAUGUGGCCUUGAGGAUAACCUGCACUGGUCUACCUUCUGCUUCCCUGGAAAGGAUGAAUUUACAUCAUUUGACAAGCCUAUUUUCAAGUUAUUUGUUGUUUGUUUGCUUGUUUCUGUUUUUGCAGCCUAAAAUAAAAAUUUCAAAUACAAUUUUAGUUCUUACAAGAUAAUGUCUUAAUUUUGUACCAAUUCAGGUAGAAGCAGAGACCUUCCUUGAAUUAAGGGUUAUACUCAGUUUUUACCACAUUAUUGAAGAAAAGGGUAACAGCUUUGGCAUGAGAUACUAUACUAAUAAGCAAGUGUAAAAAGAGAAAAAAGAAAAUCUUAAGUGAUUUGAUGCUUUUUUUUUUUUUAAAUUCAUUUUCUUUGGGUUAGAGCUAGAGAGAAGGCCCCAAGCUUCUGUGGUUUCUUCUAAUUCUUACUGCUUAAAGUAUGAAUAUGUCACUUAAACCCAUGCUUCUGUUUACUGUGUAUUAAAAUGGGUAGUACUGUUUACCUAACUACCUCAUGGAUGUGUUAAGGCAUAUUGAGUUAAAUCUCAUAUAAUGUUUCUCAAUCUUGUUAAAAGCUCAAAAUUUUGGGCCUAUUUGUAACGCCAGUGUGACACUCAGCAUUUUGUUCACACCACGCUUUGAUAACUAAACUGGAAAACAAAGGUUAAGUACCUCUGUUCUGGAUCUGGGCAGUCAGCACUCUUUUAGAUCUUUGCGUGGCUCCUAUUUUUAUAGAAGUGGAUGGAUGCACUAUUUCACAAGGUCCAAGAUUUUUUUUCAGAUAUUUUUGAUGACUGUAUUGUAGUAAAUACUACAGGGAUAGCACUAUAGUAUUGUCAUGAGACUUAAAGUGGAAAUAAGACUAUUUUUGACAAAAGAUGCCAUUAAAUUUCAGACUGUAGAGCCACAUUUAUAAUACCUCAGGCUAAUUACUGUUAAUUUGGGGGUUGAACUUUUGAUGACAGCGAGGGUGGAUUAUUGGAUUGUCAUUAGAGGAAGGUCUAGAUUUCCUGCUCUUAAUAAAAUUACAUUGAAUUCAUUUUUAGAGGUAGUGAAAACUUCCUUUUUGAGAUGUUAGUGUUAAGGUCUUGGAAUGUGAACACAUUAUUUGUAGUGCUAUCCAUUCCUCUCCUGAGAUUUUAACUCACUACUGGAAAUCCUUAACCAAUUGUAAUAGCUUUUUUCUCUUUAUUUUCAAAAUUAUUUCCUUUGCUUUGAUUAGACACUAUGUGCUUUUUGUUUUUUUUUUUUUUUAACCUAUAGUUCAUCGAAAUGCAGCUUUUUCUGAACUUUAAAGAUAGAAUCCCAUUUUUAAUGAACUGAAGUAGCAAAAUCAUCUUUUUCAUUCUUUAGGAAAUAGCUAUUGCCAAAGUGAAGGUGUAGAUAAUACCUAGUCUUGUUACAUAAUGGGGAUGUGGUUUGCAGAAGAAUUUUCUUAAGGGAUGUCAGUGUUUAUGCCAUUUUUCCAGUUCCAAAAUGAUUCCAUUCCAUUCUAGAAAUUUGAAGUAUGUAACUUGAAAUCCUUAAUAAAAUUUGGAUUUAAUUUUAUAAAAUGUA